CCCGCUUCUAAAAAACAAAAAAAGAAAGACAAUAAGUCUCUCUCUCUCUCUCUGAAUCGGCUGAUCUUUAAACACAUCUAAUCUUGUUUUCAAAAAAAAAAAAAACAUCUAAUCCGUAUCUAAUCUUUCUCUUUCAAUCUCUCCACAAUGCUACCUACUGAUGCAGACUUGGAUCUCAGAACAUCUACCGCCUCUGCAUUCUUAAUCGGGGAUUACGCAUUUGCUGAUGCCAGUAACCUGGAGCAUUGUGCCAAGUACUUGAACCAGACGCUCGUUACCUUUGGAUUUCCUGCUUCCCUGGACCUCUUUGCCAAUGAUCCGGUUUCAAUUGCACGGACCUGCAAUUGCAUUUACUCUUUGCUUCAACAGAGACAGCGUGACGUUGAAUUCAGAGAAUCUGCCAAUGAGCAGAGACAGAGACUACUAUCAGAUAUAUCAAGAUUGGAGGCAAAAGUUGAGAGGCUUGAAUCGCAGAUACAAGCCAAAGAUAGGGAAAUAGCAACUAUCACAAGAACGGAAGCCAAAGCUACAGCAGCUUUUAAGGCACAGAUUGAAAAGCUUCAACAGGAACGGGAUGAAUUUCAAAGGAUGGUCAUUGGCAAUCAGCAAGUGAGGACCCAGCAAGUACAUGAAAUGAAGAAAAAGGAAAAGGAGUACAUAAAGCUGCAGGAGAGGCUAAAUCAAGUACUGAUGGAGAAAAAGAAGGAAUCAAGAUCAGGCAUGGAGAUAAUGAAUUUGCUUCAGAAAGAAGGCAGGCAACGUGGGACAUGGAAUGGGAAGAAGGCUGAUAAUGAUUUCUAUAAGAAAAUAGUGGAUGCAUAUGAGGCUAAGAAUCAAGAAUUGAUGGCAGAGAACACUGAUUUAAGGGCAUUAUUGCGGUCAAUGCAGGUUUAUGUUUAGCAUUCAAUUGCUUUUGUGAUACUUAUCCUUUUGUGAUACGUAUGAUAUGGAUUCAAAUUGAGUUGAGUAUCCUUUUCUAUGGUCUCCAGUUGGUGUGUACUUUGUCCUUGUGGGAACAAUAUGUUGUGUUUGUGUGGUUAUAGAGAAGCUUGUGUAGUUAUUGUGUCUAUGUCCAUAGUGUUCCUAUUAUAGAUUAGUGUAAGUUAAGCUUUUGUGCAAUAUAAAGGUUGCUUCAUUGCUAUUUGGGCAUCAUAGGAUCAAAACAGAGAAACAUCCUAAUGUAAUGAGCAAGGAAGGUUGUAUGCAUCUAACCCUCCUCAAACCAAAAGUGUAAGCCAUGUGCUUCUAUUCUAUUAGUGAUCCUUUACAAAAUGGACUUAGUGAAUGUAUCUGCACACUUGGUGCAUUGUAAUUUAUUUUUUCAUUCAAAUUAAGGUUGGAUGUUGGCAUUUUAGUAGCUUAUAUAAAGUUUUUGUAUGUUAAUUAUACUCAACUUAGCUAGCCUUAAUCCCAAAUUAAUUGGGGUUUUUAUAUGGAUAUGUUCUACCAUAACACCCAGUUUAGGACUAAAAUUUCAGAAAGAUGAUCUGAGGUUGCUAAGUUCUUUCUUGCUAUUUGCCUACAUGUCAUCUUAGGUUUAUUCCUUCCUUUCUUACUACCAUUACUCUAUACUCAACCCUUCAUACUGGGGCAUUCUUCUGUCUGUGAUGGCCAUGUCCAAAGUGCAAACUAUCUCAAUCUCCCUUCUGUCAACUUUUCCACAAUAGAUGCCAUUUCCACUUUACUGCAGAUGUAUUCAUUCCUCAUUCGAUCUAUUCAAGAAAAGAAACAUGAAAGGAAGUAAAGGGAAAAGCACCAUGUCCACAUAUAUCUGCUUGAUGCAUCCUGGAGAUCCAUAUUAUUAUAAAUGCUGCACUUUUACAGUUCUAUCACUGAUGUAGUAUAUGAAUUUACAAAUAUAGACGUCUUCAAAAGUUUGUCCUUUCAUUGAACAGAAUGCUUUCUAACUGGAUUUGAUAUUUUUCUAUUCUUUUUUUUUUGUUAAAAGAAAAUAUUUUGCUUACUUUUACCUGUGGUUUUAUUAUAUGAGACAAAUUAGUACCAAAAGAUAACCUUUUCCCUAAUCUUUAAAUGGCUUUUCCAUGUUUAAUCAUUGACACAUUUGAAUAACUAAUCAUUGACACAUUUCUAUAACUAAUGGCUUUUGUGAAAAUGAGCUUUAUGAUCCUCUGGCCAUAUAUUAUGAUCUCAGUUUGCAAGCCUGGCUUACAGGUUGAUAUGCGUGAUUUCAUAAAUGCUCCAAAUGGUUCAACCAAGCAAUCUUUGGCUGUCAAUGAAAAACUUGAAGCUGACCCCUCGCAGUCUCCUUUGGGUGGAAGGACGGACGUUUUUGACCUGCCUUUUCACAUGGCUAGAGAUCAAAUUGAGGAAAGUCUCCGAAAUAAGAUGGCUUCCAUAAAGGAGCGUAUGGUUCAAUUGCAAGAUGCACAGAAAGGAGCAGAUGUCACAUCUGAAGCAACAGAGAGAGAACUUGAACUUGAAGCUCAACUUGUUGAGGCAAGAAGCAUAAUCCAGGAGCAGGCAUCCAUAAUGUCUAAACAUCUUGCUAAGUCUGAGAGGCCAAGGGAAUCUAUCCUUUCAUCACCAGCUGAGGUAUAAAAUGCUUACCUGAUGUAGCUUCAUCCAUACUUUUACUGGCUGGAUGUUGAUGCUUCAAUUUGCCAUUUGUGUGGAUAGAAAAAAGAAAAGGGGUAUAGAUAUUAUUCUUUUCAAUGCUUACCAGAAUUAGAAACUCCCUGUUCAAAGUUAUCUAUCAUUGUUAGAAUAAUGGUCAUCUUUGGGUUCAUAGAAUAGUCUUUAGCAGUUGACCCAUAGUCUACUAGUUAUAUGGAUUUAAACCAUAUUAAAGAAGCUAACUUCGUUAAUGAACAUAUAACUUUGUUCUAUUCUGGGGCAUUUGAAUUUUGAAGUGCCUCUAAGAUGGAGGAUCUGGAAAGGCAGUUAUUAUGUCUAUGUUUUAGCAAGUAUUAGAUUUGUGUAUGCACUGUUCUGCUAAAUUAUUGUGUACCUGAACAGGUCUUAAUAGGAAAAAGGAUUUGAUGCUUUCCCUAUAAAAAAGGAAUAGAAACUACUUCCAGAGCUCACAAUAAAAUUUAUGUUCUUAGUGUUGCUGGUCUUACCAAACUAUUCUUUUCAUUUUUAGGGAAUGUGAUAUCACCAGCCUGAUGAUAUCUACAUUUUGGGUAUCGAGAUUGAUGGAGUUGGCUGUAUAGUAAGAUGCAUCGCUGCAGAGAACCUUUGUAAGCAUGAUUCCAUAUGGUUCUUUUGUAGUUGUAACUAGUGAGGCCUUGAGAACCGUUAAUGAAAUGUAAUGGGUAUGUAUGCUGACAAUCGCUCCAGUCAAAUUUCUUUCAUCCAUAUUAUCGUUCGUCUUCUGUGCUUUCAGAUCAUAGGUUGCUUGCCAUUAGCAUGAUUUUUUAAAAAUUUUUAAUUUUUAAUUU
Molecule: unclassified non-coding RNA, 3401 nt
Filed under: Hevea brasiliensis (rubber tree)
Lineage: Eukaryota; Viridiplantae; Streptophyta; Magnoliopsida; Malpighiales; Euphorbiaceae
Source: RNAcentral